CACGGGCUGACAUCCCCGGGUAGCAAAGGGAAUGCUCCGCUUUCCUGGGGGCUGCAGGGUGGGAGGGAUGUGCAUGUGCCCGACUGGUGCUGACCCCUAGCCAGGGCAUUUUGGGGUUAUUUUUCCCCAGAGCUUCCAGCGCCGGGCAAUGAUUUGCCCCUCAUCAGCCCCUUUAAGGGCGAAGAUGCCAGCGGGAGAACUACAGCUGUAGAUCUGAGUGCUGCCGCCAGGAGACAACAGCCUGCCCAGGGUGCCGGUGGGAUCUGGGGAGAGGGAAGCAGUAGAUCUGCUGCCUGGUCCAGCGCACACCAGGCUGUCCUUUCUGGAGGGCCAAUGCCUGAGGGUGAUUACGUGACACUAUAAUUGCUGGUGGAGCCUUUGUCCAGCGGGAUGGCUUGAGGAAAAACCUUUCCUGCUGGGAACCCAAGACCUGGAACUGCAAAAGGAACUGCACCGCCUUGCUGCACUACUUGUGCAGCCCCUCAGGGCAGCACUGAUUUCUCUCUCCCAUGGCACAAACCCAAAGAUGGAGGGGGCACAUGGACAGACACACAGCAAGUGCUGGACAGUUAAACACCAAAGAGAAAAUAAAAAAUAAAACAAAA
RNAcentral lists this long non-coding RNA (605 nucleotides) under Anser brachyrhynchus (Pink-footed goose). RNAcentral's name for it is "lncRNA (ENSABRG00000001419.1)". Lineage: Eukaryota; Metazoa; Chordata; Aves; Anseriformes; Anatidae. The record is from RNAcentral.